GGGGAGGUGCCAGAGUGGACGAUUGGGGCCGCCUGCUAAGUGGUUGUCGGGUCAAACCGACCCAGGGUUCGAAUCCCUGCCUCUCCG
This 87-nucleotide transfer RNA is filed under the name Chloroflexota bacterium. RNAcentral describes it as "Chloroflexi bacterium (anaerobic digester metagenome) tRNA-Ser". It matches the Rfam family "tRNA". From Rfam's summary of the family: Transfer RNA (tRNA) molecules are approximately 80 nucleotides in length. Their secondary structure includes four short double-helical elements and three loops (D, anti-codon, and T loops). Lineage: Bacteria; Bacillati; Chloroflexota. The record is from RNAcentral.